Molecule: ribosomal RNA, 467 nt
Filed under: uncultured bacterium
Lineage: Bacteria
Description: partial 16S ribosomal RNA
Rfam family: Bacterial small subunit ribosomal RNA
Source: RNAcentral
GAUGAACGCUGGCGGCGUGCUUAACACAUGCAAGUCGAACGGAAAGGCCCAAGCUUGCUUGGGUACUCGAGUGGCGAACGGGUGAGUAACACGUGGGUGAUCUGCCCUGCACUUCGGGAUAAGCCUGGGAAACUGGGUCUAAUACCGGAUAGGACCACUUCUUGGAUGUUGUGGUGGAAAGUUUUUUCGGUGUGGGAUGAGCUCGCGGCCUAUCAGCUUGUUGGUGGGGUAAUGGCCUACCAAGGCGUCGCCGGGUAGCCGACCUGAGAGGGUGUACGGCGACAUUGGGACUGAGAGACGGCCCAGACUCCUACGGGAGGCAGCAGUGGGGAAUAUUGCACAAUGGGCGCAAGGCUGAUGCAGCGACGCCGCGGGGGGGAUGACGGCCUUCGGGUUGUAAACUCCUUUCGCUAGGGACGAAGCGUUUUGUGACGGUACCUGGAGAAGAAGCACCGGCUAACUACGUG